RNAcentral lists this ribosomal RNA (427 nucleotides) under Acidobacteriota bacterium. Its description in RNAcentral is "Acidobacteria bacterium partial 16S ribosomal RNA". It matches the Rfam family "Bacterial small subunit ribosomal RNA", at positions 355 to 776 of the family's 1533-position model. Lineage: Bacteria; Pseudomonadati; Acidobacteriota. The record is from RNAcentral.
UAGGGAAUCUUCCACAAUGGACGCAAGUCUGAUGGAGCAACGCCGCGAGUGAAGAAGGUUUUCGGAUCGUAAAGCUCUGUUGUUGGUGAAGAAGGAUAGAGGCAGUAACUGGUCUUUAUUUGACGGUAAUCAACCAGAAAGUCACGGCUAACUACGUGCCAGCAGCCGCGGUAAUACGUAGGUGGCAAGCGUUGUCCGGAUUUAUUGGGCGUAAAGCGAGCGCAGGCGGAAUGAUAAGUCUGAUGUGAAAGCCCACGGCUCAACCGUGGAACUGCAUCGGAAACUGUCAUUCUUGAGUGCAGAAGAGGAGAGUGGAAUUCCAUGUAUAGCGGUGGAAUGCGUAGAUAUAUGGAAGAACACCAGUGGCGAAGGCGGCUCUCUGGUCUGCAACUGACGCUGAGGCUCGAAAGCAUGGGUAGCGAACAGG